UAAGGCUUAGGUCAUAAAGGAUAACACAGCUUAGGUUCUAUUCUUCAGGGUCCUGAGUCAACCUGUGAUCUGUCCAGCUGCUCUGAGGCCACCAUGCCAAAAUAUGGAUAUUACUUUUACUCUGAGAUUUGAGAUUAAGCCAAAAUUCAAAGAGGAUUGGACCAGAUGAUGGUUUGUACUGGGAACUUGAGAAACAUUGCCUAGGAGCCAUCCUGCCAGCCACAAGGUGAUAUCUUACUGUAGUUUUAUUUCCAUUUUCCUGAUGAAGAAGAUUUGCCUACAUCUUCAUAUUUUGAAAGACCCCUGGUUCCUGUCUUCAAAUUCCAUAAUUACAAAAUGAGCUUGUUAAAUAACAUUCUCUUCCUAGUGAGCUACUUCCAGAGACUAGAGCAUGAUAAAUAAAUAACAGUAAAUUUGCAGUAGAAGAAGCUGGAAGAUAUCACUUAUCAAGAGGCCAAGGUAACUCCUCCACUUCUGAGCCCAAAGAAAUAAGUAAAGAGAAGAAGAAGAAAAAGAACAGAUUAGGCAGCUAUGGUUUUGUGAUCCAAUGGAGCUGAAUAGUUCCUCUGUUGGAAACUUCCUUCCUGUUUGGAUCUCUGGAGCUAAAACAGGACAAUGCAAGGUGCAUCACAGAAGACUGUUGGCAUCCCACUUCAGCAACAUGGUUCUUGGCCCCAGGUACCAUUGGAUCAUCUGGAUCAUACUACUCAGUUGGAAGAGCUGCAGCUGCAGAGCCUUCCCUUGCUCUGGACACUACUUAAAACUAGCAAGUUUUGGGUCAUUCACUAAAUAAGAGUAGCACAAAGCCCUG
Molecule: long non-coding RNA, 811 nt
Organism: Canis lupus familiaris (dog)
Lineage: Eukaryota; Metazoa; Chordata; Mammalia; Carnivora; Canidae
Exons: 7
Source: RefSeq, a predicted model, not a curated record